This 1146-nucleotide ribosomal RNA is filed under the name Desulfobacteraceae bacterium. RNAcentral's name for it is "bacterial SSU rRNA". It matches the Rfam family "Bacterial small subunit ribosomal RNA", at positions 201 to 1372 of the family's 1533-position model. Lineage: Bacteria; Pseudomonadati; Thermodesulfobacteriota; Desulfobacteria; Desulfobacterales; Desulfobacteraceae. The record is from RNAcentral.
UUAAAGCCUUAGGGUGCUACAAGAGGGACUUGCGUCUGAUUAGCUAGUUGGUAGGGUAAUGGCCUACCAAGGCGAUGAUCAGUAGCUGGUCUGAGAGGAUGGUCAGCCAGAUGGGGACUGAGACACGGCCCCAACUCCUACGGGAGGCAGCAGCAAGGAAUCUUGGGCAAUGAGCGAAAGCUUGACCCAGCGACACCGCGUGAGGGAAGAAGGCCUUCGGGUUGUAAACCUCUUUUCUUGGGGAAGAAUUUUGACGGUACCCGAGGAAUAAGCCUCGGCCAACUACGUGCCAGCAGCCGCGGUAAUACGUAGGAGGCGAACGUUAUUCGGAUUUACUGGGCGUAAAGGGAGCGUAGGCGGUUCCUUAAGUCAGAUGUGAAAUCUUCUGACUCAAUCAGAAGGAGUCGUUUGAUACUGAGGGACUUGAGAAUAGCAGAGGGAAAUGGAAUCCCCAGUGUAGCGGUGAAAUGCGUAGAUAUUGGGGAGAACACCAGUGGCGAAGGCGAUUUUCCAGGUUAUUUCUGACGCUGAGGCUCGAAAGCGUGGGGAGCGAAGCGGAUUAGAUACCCGCGUAGUCCACGCCGUAAACGGUGGACACUAGAUAUAGGAGGUAUCGACCCCUUCUGUGUCGAAGCUAACGCCUUAAGUGUCCCGCCUGGGGAGUACGGCCGCAAGGCUGAAACUCAAAGGAAUUGACGGGGGCCCGCACAAGCAGCGGAGCGUGUGGUUUAAUUCGAUGCUACACGAAGAACCUUACCAGGGCUUGACAUGACAGAAGUAGGAAUCCGAAAGGAGGACGACCUGUAUCCAGUCAGGAGCUGUCACAGGUGCUGCAUGGCUGUCGUCAGCUCGUGCCGUGAGGUGUUGGGUUAAGUCCCGCAACGAGCGCAACCCUUGUCCUAUGUUAAAUUCUCAUAGGAGACUGCCUUGUACAGCAAGGAGGAAGGAAAGGAUGACGUCAAGUCAGCAUGGCCUUUAUGUCCUGGGCUACACACACGCUACAAUGGGCGCUACAGAGGGUUGCCAAGGAGCGAUCCGGAGCUAAUCCCAAAAAAGCGUCCUCAGUUCGGAUUGCAGGCUGAAAUCGCCUGCAUGAAGUCGGAGUUGCUAGUAACCGCAGGUCAGCUAUACUGCGGUGAAUACGUU